Molecule: ribosomal RNA, 1452 nt
Filed under: uncultured organism
Description: SSU rRNA
Rfam family: Bacterial small subunit ribosomal RNA
Source: RNAcentral
AUGGCUCAGGACGAACGCUGGCGGCGUGCUUAACACAUGCAAGUCGAACGGAAAGGCCCUGCUUUUGUGGGGUGCUCGAGUGGCGAACGGGUGAGUAACACGUGAGUAACCUGCCCUUGACUUUGGGAUAACUUCAGGAAACUGGGGCUAAUACCGGAUAGGAGCUCCUGCUGCAUGGUGGGGGUUGGAAAGUUUCGGCGGUUGGGGAUGGACUCGCGGCUUAUCAGCUUGUUGGUGGGGUAGUGGCUUACCAAGGCUUUGACGGGUAGCCGGCCUGAGAGGGUGACCGGCCACAUUGGGACUGAGAUACGGCCCAGACUCCUACGGGAGGCAGCAGUGGGGAAUAUUGCACAAUGGGCGGAAGCCUGAUGCAGCAACGCCGCGUGCGGGAUGACGGCCUUCGGGUUGUAAACCGCUUUCGCCUGUGACGAAGCGUGAGUGACGGUAAUGGGUAAAGAAGCACCGGCUAACUACGUGCCAGCAGCCGCGGUGAUACGUAGGGUGCGAGCGUUGUCCGGAUUUAUUGGGCGUAAAGGGCCCGUAGGUGGUUGAUCGCGUCGGAAGUGUAAUCUUGGGGCUUAACCCUGAGCGUGCUUUCGAUACGGGUUGACUUGAGGAAGGUAGGGGAGAAUGGAAUUCCUGGUGGAGCGGUGGAAUGCGCAGAUAUCAGGAGGAACACCAGUGGCGAAGGCGGUUCUCUGGGCCUUUCCUGACGUGAGGGAGCGAAAGCGGGGGGAGCGAACAGGCUUUAGAUACCCUGGUAGUCCACGCUGUAAACGGUGGGUACUAGGUGUGGGGUCCAUUUCCACGGGUUCCGUGCCGUAGCUAACGCUUUAAGUACCCCGCCUGGGGAGUACGGCCGCAAGGCUAAAACUCAAAGGAAUUGACGGGGCCCCGCACAAGCGGCGGAGCAUGCGGAUUAAUUCGAUGCAACGCGUAGAACCUUACCUGGGUUUGACAUGGAUCGGGAGUGCUCAGAGAUGGGUGUGCCUCUUUUGGGGUCGGUUCACAGGUGGUGCAUGGCUGUCGUCAGCUCGUGUCGUGAGAUGUUGGGUUAAGUCCCGCAACGAGCGCAACCCUUGUUCACUGUUGCCAGCACGUUAUGGUGGGGACUCAGUGGAGACCGCCGGGGUCAACUCGGAGGAAGGUGGGGAUGACGUCAAGUCAUCAUGCCCCUUAUGUCCAGGGCUUCACGCAUGCUACAAUGGCUGGUACAGAGAGUGGCGAGCCUGUGAGGGUGAGCGAAUCUCGGAAAGCCGGUCUCAGUUCGGAUUGGGGUCUGCAACUCGACCUCAUGAAGUCGGAGUCGCUAGUAAUCGCAGAUCAGCAACGCUGCGGUGAAUACGUUCCCGGGGCUUGUACACACCGCCCGUCAAGUCAUGAAAGUUGGUAACACCCGAAGCCGGUGGCCUAACCGUUGUGGGGGAGCCGUCGAAGGUGGGACUGGUGAUU